Molecule: small RNA, 278 nt
Filed under: Bacillus phage Hyb2phi3Ts-SPbeta
Lineage: Duplodnaviria; Heunggongvirae; Uroviricota; Caudoviricetes
Also listed under: 1 other name
Description: BsrG
Rfam family: BsrG
About the family: bsrE, bsrG and bsrH pair through intermolecular interactions with antisense sRNAs. SR4 interaction with the 3'UTR of bsrG RNA promotes bsrG degradation and inhibits its translation.
Source: Rfam by way of RNAcentral
UACAUUAAGUUUGCUCACUCAAGGGAAUCUUGCUCAUCCCCUAAGAAAGGGGGUGGGAAAAUGACUGUUUACGAAUCAUUAAUGAUAAUGAUCAAUUUUGGCGGAUUGAUAUUAAAUACCGUCUUGUUGAUCUUCAAUAUAAUGAUGAUUGUAACGUCAAGCCAAAAGAAAAAAUAGACCUUCCCUUGAGUUUGGACACCUGAAGGGUUAGGCCUACGCAGAUUUGACAACGAGCAAGCCCUUUGAUGGGCAGCUUUUUGUACAAACAAUGACCAGUG